UUAUUGGGGUUUAUCUGAAUUGUAUGGUGAUGAAACGUUGUUAACAGAUUUUCUAAUUUUUGUCUCUAUCGAUUUUGUUUCCGUAAAUACAUCUUUUGUGUAUAUAUUGUCUUGUACAAAGAAACAUUGAUUAAGUAGAGAAAUAGGAUAAUCAAUCUCUGUACUUAAUACAUCAUCCAUUGAAGCAGGUUAGGAAUCGAUCCAAUAUGAGGCUCUGCAAAAACAAUUCAGAGAAGAUUCUGCAAAAACAAUUUAGGAGAAGAAGGAGUGAAAUCGCAGGGGCAAUUUGGUCAAUUCAUUUCCCAAAAACUGCCUAUCUUCAUAAGCCCAAUCAUAAUGUGCUCUUUCUCUAAUUUAUGGCCCAAAAUGUACCCAAUAUUAUAAAAGCCCCAGUAUAAGCCCCCAAUUUCUGAAAGUUUUUAAAUUUGCUUUUAUUUCCUAAAACUUGUCUAUAAAAAAAAUUUCCUGUAAAACUUUUUUAGUUUGGGACCCUAAAUUUUAAAACCGGCCCUAUACAAAACCUUGAGAUAUCUAUCUCGUUGGAUUAUACUGUAUCUUUAAGAAUGUUGAGUGACAUUUCAUGUUCAUACAUACGUUUGAAGGUUUUCAUCGAAGUGGCUCUCACUUAGGAUCGAAACCUUGUUUACCCUCAGGCCUCAGUAUUAUGUUGCAUAUAAAUCUUUUUAUAACGAACUAAUACGCAUAUUGAAAGUUUGUAAGGAAAAUAUUUUGUAGUAAAAUCUAGACCUUGUUAUAUUGGUUCAGUGACAUAGUGAAUGUUAGUACAAAAUAGCUAUUUGUUACAAAAUCCACAUAAGAUGGUUGUAUUUAUAGAGCUAAGUAAAGUCUUCAUACA
Arabidopsis thaliana (thale cress) is the source of this 856-nucleotide long non-coding RNA. RefSeq annotates it as other RNA. The transcript has a single exon. The record is from RefSeq. Lineage: Eukaryota; Viridiplantae; Streptophyta; Magnoliopsida; Brassicales; Brassicaceae.